UGGGGAAUCUUGGACAAUGGGCGCAAGCCUGAUCCAGCCAUGCCGCGUGAGUGAUGAAGGCCCUAGGGUUGUAAAGCUCUUUCGACGGGGAAGAUAAUGACGGUACCCGUAGAAGAAGCCCCGGCUAACUUCGUGCCAGCAGCCGCGGUAAUACGAAGGGGGCUAGCGUUGCUCGGAAUCACUGGGCGUAAAGCGCACGUAGGCGGCUUUUUAAGUCAGGGGUGAAAUCCCGGAGCUCAACUCCGGAACUGCCUUUGAUACUGAAAAGCUUGAGUUCGGGAGAGGUGAGUGGAACUGCGAGUGUAGAGGUGAAAUUCGUAGAUAUUCGCAAGAACACCAGUGGCGAAGGCGGCUCACUGGCCCGAUACUGACGCUGAGGUGCGAAAGCGUGGGGAGCAAACA
RNAcentral lists this ribosomal RNA (402 nucleotides) under uncultured Rhodoplanes sp. RNAcentral describes it as "bacterial SSU rRNA". It matches the Rfam family "Bacterial small subunit ribosomal RNA", at positions 355 to 774 of the family's 1533-position model. The record is from RNAcentral. Lineage: Bacteria; Pseudomonadati; Pseudomonadota; Alphaproteobacteria; Hyphomicrobiales; Nitrobacteraceae.